RNAcentral lists this ribosomal RNA (723 nucleotides) under Salmonella enterica subsp. enterica serovar Typhimurium. RNAcentral describes it as "partial 23S ribosomal RNA". It matches the Rfam family "Bacterial large subunit ribosomal RNA", at positions 1 to 652 of the family's 2925-position model. The record is from RNAcentral. Lineage: Bacteria; Pseudomonadati; Pseudomonadota; Gammaproteobacteria; Enterobacterales; Enterobacteriaceae.
GGGUUGUGAGGUUAAGCGACUAAGCGUACACGGUGGAUGCCCUGGCAGUCAGAGGCGAUGAAGGGCGUGCUAAUCUGCGAUAAGCGCCGGUAAGGUGAUAUGAACCGUUAUAACCGGCGAUUUCCGAAUGGGGAAACCCAGUGUGACUCGUCACACUAUCAUUAACUGAAUCCAUAGGUUAAUGAGGCGAACCGGGGGAACUGAAACAUCUAAGUACCCCGAGGAAAAGAAAUCAACCGAGAUUCCCCCAGUAGCGGCGAGCGAACGGGGAGGAGCCCAGAGCCUGAAUCAGCAUGUGUGUUAGUGGAAGCGUCUGGAAAGGCGCGCGAUACAGGGUGACAGCCCCGUACACAAAAGCGCAUGUGCUGUGAGCUCGAUGAGUAGGGCGGGACACGUGGUAUCCUGUCUGAAUAUGGGGGGACCAUCCUCCAAGGCUAAAUACUCCUGACUGACCGAUAGUGAACCAGUACCGUGAGGGAAAGGCGAAAAGAACCCCGGCGAGGGGAGUGAAAAAGAACCUGAAACCGUGUACGUACAAGCAGUGGGAGCCCCACCACCAAAGCAUUCUCUGGUGUUGAAGGCCCUGCAAAGCAGCAUCGCGGUGGCGGAGCGUCGUUUGCGACGCCCAACACACAAAACAAGCGGUGAAUGCUUUGGGGUGGGGUGACUGCGUACCUUUUGUAUAAUGGGUCAGCGACUUAUAUUCUGUAGCAAGGUUAACCG